UACGUACUGCGCGAACGUUGUUCGGAAUCACUGGGUAUAAAGGGUGCGUAGGCGGCCUUUCAGGUCCGAUGUGAAAUCCCCCGGCCUAACCGGGGAACUGCAUCGGAAACCGGAAGGCUUGAGCGGUCUAGGGGUGCGCGGAACUUCCGGUGGAGCGGUGAAAUGUGUUGAUAUCGGAAGGAACGCCGUUGGCGAAAGCGGCGCACUGGGGACAGGCUGACGCUGAGGCACGAAAGCUAGGGUAGCGAACGGG
RNAcentral lists this ribosomal RNA (253 nucleotides) under uncultured bacterium. Its description in RNAcentral is "partial 16S ribosomal RNA". It matches the Rfam family "Bacterial small subunit ribosomal RNA", at positions 524 to 776 of the family's 1533-position model. The record is from RNAcentral.